AUUGAACGCUGGCGGCAGGCCUAACACAUGCAAGUCGAACGGUAACAGGAAGCAGCUUGCUGCUUCGCUGACGAGUGGCGGACGGGUGAGUAAUGUCUGGGAAGCUGCCUGAUGGAGGGGGAUAACUACUGCAAACGGUAGCUAAUACCGCAUAAUGUCGCAAGACCAAAGAGGGGGACCUUCGGGCCUCUUGCCAUCGGAUGUGCCCAGAUGGGAUUAGCUUGUUGGUGGGGUAACGGCUCACCAAGGCGACGAUCCCUAGCUGGUCUGAGAGGAUGACCAGCCACACUGGAACUGAGACACGGUCCAGACUCCUACGGGAGGCAGCAGUGGGGAAUAUUGCACAAUGGGCGCAAGCCUGAUGCAGCCAUGCCGCGUGUAUGAAGAAGGCCUUCGGGUUGUAAAGUACUUUCAGCGGGGAGGAAGGGAGUAAAGUUAAUACCUUUGCUCAUUGACGUUACCCGCAGAAGAAGCACCGGCUAACUCCGUG
This 490-nucleotide ribosomal RNA is filed under the name uncultured bacterium. RNAcentral describes it as "partial 16S ribosomal RNA". It matches the Rfam family "Bacterial small subunit ribosomal RNA", at positions 30 to 507 of the family's 1533-position model. The record is from RNAcentral.